This is a long non-coding RNA of Megachile rotundata (alfalfa leafcutting bee), 1339 nucleotides long. The record is from RefSeq and is a predicted model, not a curated record. Lineage: Eukaryota; Metazoa; Arthropoda; Insecta; Hymenoptera; Megachilidae.
UCUUCGUUAUUUUUUCGAUAUCGAUCGGUCUGGGCGACAGGAUCGACGGAAAAUGACCGUCGUUAACGAUCUGUAGGAUUACAUUUGAUUGUUAGCGUUCGAUAGGGUGCGUCCGUUUUACAGGAACGAACGGAAAUUGCGAAUUCGCUGUUACGAGACUUACUUCUGGCGUGUCGGGUUUUCGAUCGAGGGAACGAAGGGGAGGUGACAGGACGAACCGGAAAUAGGAACUGGUCCCCAGGAUUUUUAUUUCUUUGCUCACGUAGACGAAUUGGUAAUCGAUGUUCGACGACGCCUGCAACGUUUUUUAACAUUAGUGAAAUCAAUCUCAUAAUCUACUUAGAUUUCACUUGACAAUAAUUAAUCAUUUUUUGAGAUUUUGCUGAUUAAUUUAAUUGACCUCUCGAUGAAAAGUGUGCAGGAACAUAACGCUACGAUUGUGUGAUAAUAAGUCUCUAGGUGCAAUAACGACGUAUUCGAAAGCGAGGUACUGUUGAAGAUUGGUCCAUCCUCGUGGGAAAAUUCCGAUCCAAUCGCGUGUCGAGUUUUUCAAAUUGAACUUCAUUGGUGUACUGACAAUGAAAUGUGCCACGUGCACAGCAAUACAUUUUUAUAAACGUUUGUGGCUGAAAAAUAAGGCUAAACGCUGAUCAAUGUGAAGGUAGCAGUUUUUAUUAUUUUAUUUGAGCAAUUUUGUUAUCGAGUUGUGGAAGUGACAAACGAACGAUGAAUAUUUGAAAAAAUUGCUGUAACAUUGAAAUCGCAUUUAUGAUAAAAUUUUUAAAUCGUCGCAAUUUUAAAAUGAGUAAGGUCCUUCGUAAUUAUUUGUAUUCGCAUCAAUUGCAAAGUACGAAGCAGCAGCUGCCAUCUAGCAGCGAAGUGUGGAUAAUCACGAACGUCCAAAUGCAUUGCAAGAAAUAAAGUAGUGUGGAUAAAUUAUUCUGCAGAUACACAUAUUUUUACACCAUGUUUUAUUCAAUCAUUUUUUUACAUCAAAAAUUUAUUCAUUCCAGAAAACAAUUGACAUCAUCGAGUAUGUCGUGACCUUCAUACAAAUGACCUGUAAAGUAAAAUUAACCCGCACAAAAUUGUAUAUUUUUCUACUCUUCUUCGUUUCUGUCACAAUACAAUAAGGUUUCAUUAACAAUCAAUGUUCCGCAAUUGUAGCAGAUGGAAGAACGAUGUUCCGCGGAUAAGAUAACGAAAACUGUUAUCGCGAUACUCGUUAAAUACACUUGGCUUCAAUGUAGACUUCCUUUAAUUACGGAUAAGAAGAGAGCUAGUUUAUUUGUUUUUAUUUCGGAACUGCUUAAUGUAUGUACAUUUUACUGCGUGUGAA